CCCUACAUCCUGCGCCUUGUCCUGAGCCUCUCCAGCCUUUCCGGACAAGUAGUUCCCGGCGUCCUCUAACUUGCCCUUGGCGGCACCGGCGGCAUCCUGCACCUUGUCCUUGGCGGCUCCCGCGGUCUCCUUCACUUUGUUGGCUGCAUCUCCCGCCGCAUUCUCCACCUUGUCGACCACGCCCUCCUCGGCGCGCACCACAACGACGGAGCGCGCGGGGGAAGAUCGGAGACUGAAGCUGGAGUGAGCGACGUUCAACCUCAGACCUCCGAGACGGCUGACUGAUCCCAAAUGCACUUGGCUGGUGGAGGAUACCACGUUGAUGGGCUGCACCGCGGCAACGUUCAGGCUGGUCAUCAUGGUCGCCAUUUCUACAGUAUAAUAUUCAACUGAGUGUGAAGCUGAAGACUAUCGUGAACUCUGCGAAGAUAAUAUGAAAUACCUUGGUACUGCAAAGUGGAGACUAAGUCGAUCGUUUACAAAGAAUUACAAUAUGGUCCAGAACCAGGGUGAAAGGUUUUUAAAGCAGAAGGCAGCGGUGGCGAUGGCAAGGAUAAUGCAGCGUUCAUUCCAACUUAGAUGACAGUCAUGUGCAGGCUCGACAAGUGGCUGACCUCGGAAGCCAGGAAGUACUCCGCACGCGGCGCAUCGCCAGUGGUUGGAGUGCGGCGGGACAAUCACGGUCCAGUUGGAGGAUCUAGAUGCUGAGGAAGAAGUUUUCAGAUAAGAUGUUGCCACGGAAUUCCGCUAUAAGUUGGGCUUGUGUUGACACGUCUUUCAAACAUAUUCUCUGGUCCAGUUCCAUCAUGGGUCAUCUUCAGGCUUUCCAUAAAAGCCUAAAAGCAUGUAGAUGAAAACAGCCGUCGAUUGAGCACCACCGGUGGAAUCGAAACUUAUGGAUUCGGAAUCCUAUGAGAACAGUAUUGAUGAACUCCUCUUUGUCAAGCUGAGUAGGUUGUGAUGAAGGUGAAUUUCGAGGAUAUAGUCGAAAUUCAAACGCGUGCAAAUGCGCUACAUUAAUUUCUUUCAUCCACGGAAAAUUUUACUAACACGCUUCUUCACAAUAUUUGAUUUUCACUUCUUGUCGGUGUCAUGGGCUUGGAAAGUUGUGAAGCCUUGUAGAGUAUUCAUUAAGAAUUUGUUUCUACCUUACAGUGCACAAUUUGGUAAAUUUCUUCGUGCUUCGGAGAUGAAAUUCUGAACCUAAUUUAUUCUAAGCUUCAUCUUUGUACUCUUUUGACGUGUUUCUACUUGAAAUUGCCAUUCAACGCUCACAUGACAAAAUUAUUGGUAGCUACUGUAGUAAAUGUCUUCAUCAAAUAAACAUAAUCCCCAGAAGCAUAUUCAAAAUGUACCAUCUUGCAUUCAAGAUCAUGUGUUAUGCCUGUCCAGUGCUUGUUUCACUGGUUACGAACGGUUACAACGAUUCGGUUCUAUGCAAGGUGAAUCAGAAGUGUGAGAAGACAAAACUCAGGUAAAAUUCUAUUAAAGAGCACCUUGAAGCCACACCAAGACAGAAAAUGGUGACCACAGUCCUAAACGUAAUGCUGCUAAACGUAAUUCCCGAGAAAGUGAGGCUUUGCAACAGCACGAAGCAGCAGCACACAAAAUUCUAAGAAAUUUCUCGAAAAUUCCCAUGAGCCUCACAGUCAGAAACGAAAUUACACAGCGCGGAGCAAUUUCAACAUUACCGAAAAAACCUUUACACAUUCAUAUCAAUCACAGGUUUAAUGCGCCAUAAAUUUUAACAUGAUUUGCUUUAAUAGAAUGAAUACACGCAUUGCGAUAGCUGUACAGAGUUUUGCAGCAACAAGAUUUCAUACCUACAAUACGAUACAGGUAACAGCAUAUUUCAACAAUGAAUGCGCUUUCAGCCUACAUUUUACACACUUCAAGACAUUUACACCCAAACUACUCUGUUGAUGCUGCUAUCCUCAGUUGGAAAUGCGGUCCGCACCCUUCUGAGCAUCUCUCUUCAAGUCAUGCGCUGUGUCACGGGCACCAUCCGCUGCAUUCUCAGCCUUUUCCUGCAAAUCCUUCCCCGCGUCCUGAGCGUUGCUCUUCGCCUUCUCUGCAUUCUUCUGCAGCGAGUUCCCGGCAUCGUCUAUGGCAUUCUGAGCCUUGUCCUGCAAACAUCAUCGAAAUGCAUUCAAUCUCAGCGCGAGCCCACAACCAUAUAACAGCAGCAACACCAUCCGGGACAAUGAGAUGAGCACACUGCUCUAAAGUAUGUGAUCGGAGUGAGCUUCGGAGGCAGACGAAAACUUACACCAAGCUUCUCAGCUUCGCUUCUCGCGUCCUUGCUCGCAUUCCUAGCGCUGCCCUCCAAGUCCCUGCCUGCGUCGUCAGCCUUGUCGCCCAGCUUCUCCGCCUCGUUCUGGGCGUCGCGCCCUACAUCCUGCGCCUUGUCCUGAGCCUCUCCAGCCUUUCCGGACAAGUAGUUCCCGGCGUCCUCUAACUUGCCCUUGGCGGCACCGGCGGCAUCCUGCACCUUGUCCUUGGCGGCUCCCGCGGUCUCCUUCACUUUGUUGGCUGCAUCUCCCGCCGCAUUCUCCACCUUGUCGACCACGCCC
This 2573-nucleotide long non-coding RNA is filed under the name Physcomitrium patens. Its description in RNAcentral is "long non-coding RNA (PPAT_LNC002364)". Lineage: Eukaryota; Viridiplantae; Streptophyta; Bryopsida; Funariales; Funariaceae. The record is from RNAcentral.